This 792-nucleotide long non-coding RNA is filed under the name Helianthus annuus (common sunflower). RNAcentral describes it as "hypothetical non coding rna". The record is from RNAcentral. Lineage: Eukaryota; Viridiplantae; Streptophyta; Magnoliopsida; Asterales; Asteraceae.
GCUUAACACAAAGAAACCCUACCCUAUCACUAUAUUGCGACGACAGACCCCUUCCCCCCUUUUUGUCGACGCCCCUUUUCCUUUAGAGAUUGUUCUUCGUGCCAAGCUCUAUUAGUAUCUUGAUUUUCGGUUUGUUGAUUUCUCUUUUUAAUUGCUUUGAUCCCCUAUUAUAGUUGAUUUCUUGAAUGAGUAAUGAUUAAUGUGUUAUAUGUGAUCUCUUGGAUAAUUAGGGAGUAAUAUACUGCAUAUGUUCUUUUGAAUAUAUGUAGUGAUGAAUCUGUAGCAUGGACCAAGACUUUUGAUGUUAUAACUUGAUGAUUUGUUUGGAACUAGCAGUUGAUUAGAAGUUAAAACAUGUGACUCUAAUCUCUUAACCCAUCACACAUCUUAAUUUGUUCUUCUUGGUAUCGUAAUGCCUGUUUAAGCAUGAAUUAUAUAUUUUGUGAAAAUAAUAAACAAACAAAUUAAUAGAAAUUAUAUAUAUUAUUAACGUUUCAAACAAAUUUAAAUAUAAAAUUACAACUAUUCAAGUUGUUAACAAUAAGUGCCUGUGUGAAUAUUUACUUUUCUUAAUUUUCUUUGACUUUUCUAAUCUUUUUUAAUAUCCUUAAUAAAUCGAGAUUUUCUCUCAUAGAUGACAUAUUUUUUAGUUGUAAGUACACCUCAUAUUCAAACUCUUUUAAGUUUUGGUGAUUAUAAUUAUCUUUGGAUUCUUGGCUACUUUCUUGCUAGUCUUUAUAUUUAGUUGCACUUUGUAACUAUUCACCCACUUCAUCUUUGUAAAUGAACUGA